Long non-coding RNA from Bufo bufo (common toad), 769 nucleotides. RefSeq lists it as uncharacterized. The record is from RefSeq and is a predicted model, not a curated record. The transcript is spliced from 4 exons. Lineage: Eukaryota; Metazoa; Chordata; Amphibia; Anura; Bufonidae.
CCCAUUAAUAUACCAAUAAAUAAAUGAAUCCUUACUCAAUGUAGAAUUAAACAAGUAUCUUUAUUUAAUAGUUGGGUAUUUAAAGGCCGCAAUGCUUAUUACUUUACCAAUUAAAUAUUUACUGGUUAAAUAAUCAAACUUUUAACAACAAUUAUAAUCAUAUAAAUAUUUUAACCAUUAUCAAUAACCACAAAGUCCACUCGUGAGAGUGACUUAACCCCUCGUCAAUAAGCAAAGCGACAGAAAGAAAUUAGGGAAGGGAGGGAGGGAUCUUGAGAGUAUACUUACGCGAAUGCGCUGAAACCGUUAUUUUCUGUUCUUUUAUAGGUUCAAGAAAUAAUCAGUUACUGAGAUCUCCAAUCAAAACUUCCCAAAACCGCACGAGCACCCACAGCAUCUGGGUUAACCCAUUCCUAAAGCAGAUAACGCAUUAUCAACCAAAAUACAACCUGGACCAACAAAUUCAGGAGGAGGCGCAUAUUGGGAAGGAGAAUAUGCCCUCUUGUCCUUGCUCUGUCGUUUUCUGACCGGAGAUACAGAAGCCGUGUUACUGCGCAUGCGCGCGCCAGUAACAGAAGAGGAAUCGAUUUGAUCGGAGCUCGCGCCGGGUCCUACGCAGCAGACAGGAUCAAUGGAUGUAAGAAGAUCUUCUUGCUGGACCGGAGCGAAUUGUUCAAGAAAUAAUCAGUUACUGAGAUCUCCAAUCAAAACUUCCCAAAACCACACAAGCACCCACAGCAUCUGGGUUAACCCAUUCCUAAAGCAGGUG